Molecule: ribosomal RNA, 494 nt
Filed under: uncultured bacterium
Lineage: Bacteria
Description: bacterial SSU rRNA
Rfam family: Bacterial small subunit ribosomal RNA
Source: RNAcentral
AGUGAACGCUGGCGGCAGGCCUAAUACAUGCAAGUCGAACGGCAGCACAGCAGAGCUUGCUCUGUGGGUGGCGAGUGGCGGACGGGUGAGGAAUACAUGGGAAUCUGCCCAGUCGUGGGGGAUAACGUAUGGAAACGUACGCUAAUACCGCAUGCGCCCUACGGGGGAAAGUCGGGGACCGCAAGGCCUGACGCGAUUGGAUGAGCCCAUGUUCGAUUAGCUAGUUGGCGGGGUAAAGGCCCACCAAGGCGACGAUCGAUAGCUGGUCUGAGAGGAUGAUCAGCCACACUGGAACUGAGACACGGUCCAGACUCCUACGGGAGGCAGCAGUAGGGAAUAUUGGACAAUGGGGGCAACCCUGAUCCAGCCAUGCCGCGUGAGUGAAGAAGGCCCUCGGGUUGUAAAGCUCUUUUGUCCGGAAAGAAAGCAUUCGGUUAAUACCCGGGUGUUCUGACGGUACCGGAAGAAUAAGCACCGGCUAACUUCGUGCCAGC